This 1034-nucleotide ribosomal RNA is filed under the name Enterobacter cloacae. RNAcentral's name for it is "bacterial SSU rRNA". It matches the Rfam family "Bacterial small subunit ribosomal RNA", at positions 428 to 1451 of the family's 1533-position model. The record is from RNAcentral. Lineage: Bacteria; Pseudomonadati; Pseudomonadota; Gammaproteobacteria; Enterobacterales; Enterobacteriaceae.
AAGUACUUUCAGCCGGGGAGGAAGGUGUGUGGUUUAAUAACCGCAGCAAUUGACGGUACCCGCAGAAGAAGCACCGGGCUAACUCCGUGGCCAGCAGCCGCGGUAAUACGGAGGGGUGCAAGCGUAAUCGGAAUUACUGGGCGUAAAGCGCACGCAGGCGGUCUGUCAAGUCGGAUGUGAAAUCCCCGGGCUCAACCUUGGGAACUGCAUUCGAAACUGGCAGGCUAGAGUCUUGUAGAGGGGGGUAGAAUUCCAGGUGUAGCGGUGAAAUGCGUAGAGAUCUGGAGGAAUACCGGUGGCGAAGGCGGCCCCCUGGACAAAGACUGACGCUCAGGUGCGAAAGCGUGGGGAGCAAACAGGAUUAGAUACCCUGGUAGUCCACGCCGUAAACGAUGUCGAUUUGGAGGUUGUGCCCUUGAGGCGUGGCUUCCGGAGCUAACGCGUUAAAUCGACCGCCUGGGGAGUACGGCCGCAAGGUUAAAACUCAAAUGAAUUGACGGGGGCCCGCACAAGCGGUGGAGCAUGUGGUUUAAUUCGAUGCAACGCGAAGAACCUUACCUGGUCUUGACAUCCACAGAACUUUCCAGAGAUGGAUUGGUGCCUUCGGGAACUGUGAGACAGGUGCUGCAUGGCUGUCGUCAGCUCGUGUUGUGAAAUGUUGGGUUAAGUCCCGCAACGAGCGCAACCCUUAUCCUUUGUUGCCAGCGGUUAGGCCGGGAACUCAAAGGAGACUGCCAGUGAUAAACUGGAGGAAGGUGGGGAUGACGUCAAGUCAUCAUGGCCCUUACGACCAGGGCUACACACGUGCUACAAUGGCGCAUACAAAGAGAAGCGACCUCGCGAGAGCAAGCGGACCUCAUAAAGUGCGUCGUAGUCCGGAUUGGAGUCUGCAACUCGACUCCAUGAAGUCGGAAUCGCUAGUAAUCGUAGAUCAGAAUGCUACGGUGAAUACGUUCCCGGGCCUUGUACACACCGCCCGUCACACCAUGGGAGUGGGUUGCAAAAGAAGUAGGUAGCUUAACCUUCGGGAGGGC